UGGGGAAUAUUGGACAAUGGGCGCAAGCCUGAUCCAGCCAUGCCGCGUGAGUGACGAAGGUCUUCGGAUUGUAAAGCUCUUUUUGGCGGGGACGAUAAUGACGGUACCCGCAGAAUAAGCCCCGGCUAACUUCGUGCCAGAAGCCGCGGUAAUACGAAGGGGGCUAGCGUUGUUCGGAAUCACUGGGCGUAAAGCGCACGUAGGCGGAUUUGUUAGUCAGGGGUGAAAUCCCGGGGCUCAACCUCGGAACUGCCUCUGAUACUGCAAAUCUCGAGUCCGAUAGAGGUGAGUGGAAUUCCUAGUGUAGAGGUGAAAUUCGUAGAUAUUAGGAAGAACACCGGUGGCGAAGGCGGCUAACUGGUCCGGUACUGACGCUGAGGUGCGAAAGCGUGGGGAGCAAACAGGAUUAGAUACCCAAGUAGUCCCUGAGCGGGCUGGCAAGGCGCAU
Molecule: ribosomal RNA, 448 nt
Filed under: uncultured bacterium
Lineage: Bacteria
Description: bacterial SSU rRNA
Rfam family: Bacterial small subunit ribosomal RNA
Source: RNAcentral